Molecule: ribosomal RNA, 546 nt
Filed under: uncultured archaeon
Lineage: Archaea
Description: bacterial SSU rRNA
Rfam family: Archaeal small subunit ribosomal RNA
Source: RNAcentral
CGGGGUGCACCAGGCGCGAAAACUUUACAAUGCCGGCAACGGCGAUAAGGGAACCUCGAGUGCCAGGUUACAAAUCUGGCUGUCGUGAUGCCCAAAAAGCAUUGCAUAGCAAGGGCCGGGCAAGACCGGUGCCAGCCGCCGCGGUAACACCGGCGGCUCGAGUGGUAACCGUUAUUAUUGGGUCUAAAGGGUCUGUAGCCGGCCGGGUAAGUCUCUUGGGAAAUCUGGCAGCUUAACUGUCAGGCUUUCAGGAGAUACUGCCUGGCUCGAGGCCGGGAGAGGUGAGAGGUACUUCAGGGGUAGGGGUGAAAUCUUGUAAUCCUUGAAGGACCACCAGUGGCGAAGGCGUCUCACCAGAACGGACCUGACGGCAAGGGACGAAAGCUAGGGGCACGAACCGGAUUAGAUACCCGGGUAGUCCUAGCCGUAAACGAUACUCGCUAGGUGUCGGCCACGGUGCGACCGUGGUCGGUGCCGUAGGGAAGCCGUGAAGCGAGCCACCUGGGAAGUACGGCCGCAAGGCUGAAACUUAAAGGAAUUGGCGGG